GCCAGACGUGGUGGUGCAUGCCUGUGCUCCCAGCUACUCGGGAGGCUGAGGUGGGAGGAUUCCUCGAGCCCAGGAGUUUGCGGCUUCAGUGAGCUAUGAUUGCAUCACUGCACUCCAGCCUGGGCUACAGAGCAAGACCCUAUCUCUU
RNAcentral lists this small RNA (148 nucleotides) under Macaca mulatta (Rhesus monkey). RNAcentral's name for it is "Metazoan signal recognition particle RNA (ENSMMUG00000058424.1)". Lineage: Eukaryota; Metazoa; Chordata; Mammalia; Primates; Cercopithecidae. The record is from Rfam by way of RNAcentral.